Molecule: transfer RNA, 65 nt
Filed under: Thalamita crenata
Lineage: Eukaryota; Metazoa; Arthropoda; Malacostraca; Decapoda; Portunidae
Also listed under: 1 other name
Description: tRNA-Arg
Source: RNAcentral
UAUUAGAAAGCGAAAUUUACCGCAUUUAGUUUCGACCUAAACUUUGGCUUGUAGGCCUCUAAUAA